UGGCAGUCUUGAGUCUAGAGUCCAGUCGAAUUCGCCUAGAACAAUACAGUUUGCAGGUCAACGGGAGAAAGUCUUUCGCAAUUGUUGUUUGAAAUAAAUCAGCUUGGCUUCAUUAAGCGACAGGAAUAAGUGACAAGCCUGAGCAAGAAAAUGAACGCGUCUACGACAGAAAACAUAAAAAUGCGACAGGGUAUCAAAAUCGACGAUACGUGAUGAUCGGAUACGUGAUUCGGACGUCGCACCGGGAGUAGAUAAGGAAUUGGAAUAGUAAGAGUCGAUCAGAUGAAAUUUUGCAUUUCAGAGGAUAAUUAACAAUUAAUAAUUCGAUUAUUUAUAAAGCACACCUUCUGUCAUUUUACUUUUGUAUUUGCGUGAUUACCUCGAAAAUGAAGAUAAAUUCGCCGGUGAUAUUUUCGAUAUGUGUGUAUACCCAUGCGAUAUACAUAGGUUAAGAAUAUAUUUUUGUAAUAUUUAUCGGAAAUCCGUGUCUACGUAUGCAUCGCAUUAUUUUAGAUUUAUUGUUACAUCAGUUUUGGUUUGAUUUUGCCGUCGGAAUAUCUUGCAUUUCAUUUGACUACAUCGUACUGACAAGCUCUGUUUGGAUUCGUUCUGUAGUUGGUAUUUCUUUCGUUUAUGCUAAUGAGAAGUCGUAAAUUCGUGACUAUUAUCAAGGUCGUCACUAUUGUCAGGAAUGGCUGUAGACGGUUAUUUUACGACUUUCUCAAUUGGCCUCUUUGGAAACUUAGAGACAGUUCAGACCAUCACGAGCUCUGAAACAGUUAAGCAUCCCUAAAUAUGCCCUGACCGUUUUUCCAUCGUAUUGUGUGCUAAACGCUUCAGUUGAAAUCCAGGCAUCUUUGUAAAGUUUUAACCCUUCUCCUUACACUUUGUACUCAUCUUAACAAUAAAGGUUAUCUUUAUAUAUGUA
Molecule: long non-coding RNA, 928 nt
Organism: Bombus terrestris (buff-tailed bumblebee)
Lineage: Eukaryota; Metazoa; Arthropoda; Insecta; Hymenoptera; Apidae
Exons: 2
Source: RefSeq, a predicted model, not a curated record